Long non-coding RNA from Oreochromis aureus, 469 nucleotides. NCBI's taxonomy places the organism in Eukaryota, Metazoa, Chordata, Actinopteri, Cichliformes, Cichlidae. The record is from Ensembl.
ACGAUCAUGGAGGCACGGGAGGUGAAGACCACGCAGGUGGAGGAAGUGAGGAAUGUGAUGGAGAAGAUUGAGCUCAACAAGGGACAGGAUGACCCACUGAGCACUUCAGAGGAGCAAGUGGAGCACGCAGGCAACAAGACCAGCAAAGUCCCAGAGGCAUCAAGAUCCAGACCUAAGAAGAAAAGGCCACUAAGUGUCCAGCUUCAUGCCAACCACAGAGCCAGCCUUCAUGAUUAGUUUUUCCAGCCUGGAUGAGUCCUCCUUUGCUGUGCUGCUCCCCCAGCACAACACAGCAUACAAUAGUACUCCGGCAACCUCAGGAGCUUCCUGCAGAUGUUGAAAGACCUCAGUCUCCUGAGGAAGUACAGUCUGCUUUGGCCUUUUUUAUACAGGUGCUGCGUGUUGCAUGACCAGUCCAGUUUGUUGUCCACCCACAGCCUGAGGUACUUCAUACUUAAUGCAGCAGAUU